GUGAAUCAUCGAAUCUUUGAACGCAAAUUGCACUCCCUGGUAUUCCGGGGAGUAUGCCUGUUUGAGGGUCGUUAGAAUAAAAAAGCGAUGCGUCGCUCUUUUGUGUAAUGGUGAUCGCGUCGGAAUGGAGCCGUCUUUCAAAUGUUAAUUCAUGUGAAAGUGGCUUGAAGUUCAUCCAUCCGGUACGAUUGAGGCGUAGUGAAGGUCAAUUUUGAUUGAGAACGCGCGAUGACGUACCAUCCCACGGAUUACGUUUGACCUGGGUCAUCAGGGUCAUUC
Molecule: unclassified non-coding RNA, 279 nt
Filed under: Funneliformis mosseae
Lineage: Eukaryota; Fungi; Glomeromycota; Glomeromycetes; Glomerales; Glomeraceae
Description: partial contains 5.8S ribosomal RNA and internal transcribed spacer 2
Rfam family: 5.8S ribosomal RNA (bases 1-71)
Source: RNAcentral